RNAcentral lists this ribosomal RNA (560 nucleotides) under Coolia tropicalis. RNAcentral's name for it is "partial large subunit ribosomal RNA". It matches the Rfam family "Eukaryotic large subunit ribosomal RNA", at positions 240 to 771 of the family's 3401-position model. Lineage: Eukaryota; Dinophyceae; Peridiniales; Ostreopsidaceae. The record is from RNAcentral.
CUGUGCACGGUCUGCAUUUGGUGAUUCACAUUCCUUGGCAAUGGAAUGCAAACAGGUGGUAAAUUCCAUCCAAUGUAACAAUACAACAUUGAGGCUGAUAACAAACAAGUACCAUGAGGGAAAUAUGAAAAGGACUUUGGAAAGAGAAUUAAAAGAGUUUGCAUUUGCUUGGCAUAAAACAAAUUAAUGUUGUCAUGGCCAAAAGAUUGUUGCAUUUCUGGGUGUGUGCCAACAUUGCUUAGCAAGUGUAAUGCUUCUUUCCCCACAAAGCUGUUGCAUUCAUGGAUCAUUCUUGUUUGGUGCUGGCAAUAUGUGUUGCAUAGUGGUGCUCUGCUUGCAUUUCCGAUUUAUGAUGUUAUGCGCACGCCUUUUGAAGCUGGACAGACAUGGCUGGGUGGUUUGUGCAUCUUCUUGGAGGAGUGGCUUGUGUGCUGACAAAGAAGGUUGCUUGACCCGUCUUGAAACACGGACCAAGGAGUCUAACAGACGUGCAAAAGAAUGAUUCAAAAUGUGGCAAAACUGAAAGUAAGAGUUAGCAUGUGUGCUCCAACGGCCAAAUG